This 999-nucleotide long non-coding RNA is filed under the name Mytilus galloprovincialis (Mediterranean mussel). Lineage: Eukaryota; Metazoa; Mollusca; Bivalvia; Mytilida; Mytilidae. The record is from RNAcentral.
GGCGUCCGAAUACUUUUAGUUUUCGCACUCUAACUUAAGUAAAAGUGAAUAGAAAUCUAUGAAAUUUUAACACAAGGUUUAUGACCAUAAAAGGAAGGUUGGUAUUGAUUUUGGGAGUUUUGGUCCCAACAUUUUAGGAAUAAGGGGCCAAAAAGGGCCCAAAUAAGCAUUUUCUUGGUUUUCGCACCAUAACUUUAGUUUAAGUUAAUAGAAAUCUAUGAAAUUUUGACACAAGGUUUAUGACCACAAAAGAAAGAUUGGGAUUGAUUUUGGGAGUUUUGGUUUCAAUAGUUUAGGAAUAAGGGGCCAAUAAAGGGCCCAAAUAAGAAUUUUUCUUGGUUUUUGCACAAUAACCUUAGGUUAAGUAAAUAGAAAUCUAUGAAAUUUAAACACAAUGUUUAUGACCACAAAAGGAAGGUUGGUAUUGAUUUUGGGAGUUUAGGACCCAACAGUUUAGGAAUUAGGGGCCAAAAAGGGACCCAAAUAAGCAUUUUUCUUGGUUUUCGCACUAUAAUGUUAGUAUAAGUAAAUACAAAUCUAUGAAAUUUAAACACAAGGCUUAUGACCAUAAAAGGAAGGUUGGUAUUAAUUUUGGGAGUUUUGGUCCCAACAAUUUAGGAAAAAGGGGCCCAAAGGGUCCAAAAUUAAACUUUGUUUGAUUUCAUCAAAAUUGAAUAAUUGGGGUUCUUUGAUAUGCCGAAUCUAACUGUAUAUGUAGAUUCUCAACUUUUGGUCCCGUUUUCAAAUUGGUCUACAUUAAGGUCCAAAGGGUCCAAAAUUAAACUAAGUUUGAUUUUGACAAAAAAAUGAAUCGGUUGGGUUCUUUGAUAUGUUGAAUCUAAAAAUGUACUUAGAUUCUUGAUUUAUUGAAGUUUUUUGGUCCAGUUUUCAAAUUGGUCUACAUUAAGGUCCAAAGGGUCCAAAAUUAAACUUUGUUUGAUUUCAUCAAAAAUUGAAUCCUUGGGGUUCUUUCAUAUGCCAAAUCUAACUGUGUAUGUA